AACGAACGCUGGCGGCAUGCCUAACACAUGCAAGUCGAACGAGACCUUCGGGUCUAGUUGCGCACGGGUGCGUAGCGCGUGGGAACCUGCCCUUAGGUUCGGAAUAACUCCCCGAAGGGGGUGCUAAUACCGGAUAAUGUCUUCGGACCAAAGAUUUAUCGCCUUUGGAUGGGCCCGCGUUGGAUUAGCUAGUUGGUAGGGUAAAAGCCUACCAAGGCGACGAUCCGUAGCUGGUCUGAGAGGAUGGUCAGCCACACUGGGACUGAGACACGGCCCAGAAUCCUACGGGAGGCAGCAGUGGGGAAUAGUGGACAAUGGGCGAAAGCCUGAUCCAGCAAUGCCGCGUGAGUGAUGAAGGCCUUAGGGAUGUAAAGCUCUUUUACCCGGGAUGAUAAUGACAGUACCGGGAGAAUAAGCUCCGGCUAACUCCGUG
Molecule: ribosomal RNA, 433 nt
Filed under: uncultured bacterium
Lineage: Bacteria
Description: partial 16S ribosomal RNA
Rfam family: Bacterial small subunit ribosomal RNA
Source: RNAcentral